ACCCUCGAACGUUGACGGGAACUCAGAGAAGGUACACAGAAUGCCUGCUUCUGAAAGUGUUCCAGAUCACUCGGCAACAGGGUUAGUGCUGGAAUUCACUCAGGAAAACUAAGGACACACCCAGAAAGAGUGGAGUAAAACAAGACAUUACAGAUUCAGAUUUUGGCUGCUUAUUAGUGUCCAAGUAAUCAAUGACUAUUGAAAGGACUGAGGAACCAGAAACGGUUUUACAGCACUGUCCUUGGAGAGACUUACUGUUGAAUUGCGUCAAAUAAUUAACGCCAUUCUCCUUUGCAAGCAAAGGUAAAUUUAUAAUACAUUCAUAUAAUUUGACAUAAUGCGAUCUCUCCAGGAUGGAGCGAAAGUCCUCAUUCGAGGAAUUCAGUUUCCAGCUGUUGAAUUAUACUUUGGAAAUAAAGAAGUGUUCAAUAACACAACAGAGAAGGAAAACCUCAGUUUAGGCAGCUGAUGAGACUUGGGUCUGAGCCACUAAGCGGAGCUGGGGGAUACAGCUCCUAUCCAUACAGAGACACAUAUUCCUUGCCUCUGGAAGACCUCAGAGCUACUCACAAGCUGGCUUUACAUAUUUCAAAGAAAACUGUAGAAAAGUAUGCAUCACUGAGACGUUACCUCCUCUCCCACUCAUGCUUUCCUCAUCUGGAAGGAUGACAGGUGUAGCAUCCAACACUCACCAGUUCUUUUGGCUCUACACAGACUUUGCUUUUCCACAAAAUCUUUAGGAAUGUCCUAUUUCUCUAUCCUUUUGACAAAUCCAGCUAAAAACAGCUUAAAAAACACCACCAGCUGACAAAGGAAACAAUUUCAGUGAUUAAAUCAUCAACCAGAUCUUAAGGAAAUGAAGCAGAAACGAAUGUCUCGUCAUUAAACAUCAAAAUGGAGCCACCAUAGUCUACUCUUCCAGUCUGUUUUACUGAAGAUUCUCUUAUGAAAUUUCUAAAGGAGUGAAAACGACUGAGUUUCUGAAGUGCUUUACUAAAUAGCUUAUGAGUUGCAUCAGAAAUCUCCCAAGGUAACAAGAGAGAAUGGCCUCACGGUGCACCAGGGGAGGCUCAGGUUGGAUAUUAGGAAAAAUUCCUUCUCUCAAGGAGCAGUGAGGUGGUGGAAGAGGCUGCCCAGGAGAACACUGGUGUCACCGUCCCUACGUGGUAUUGAGGGACGUGGUUUGUGGGCACGCUGGGGAUGGAAUGGGGGUUGGAUUACAUAAUGAUGAUCUUAGAAGUUUUUUUUCCAGCCAUAAUGAUUCUAAGAUACUGCAAGAACGCUGUCAGCAGACUAACUCGGCCAGUGAGGAGGAUCGCCUUCAGCGACGCUAGACCCACACAAAGAACCUGUGCCUGCGAUGCUGAAGCCUGACAGAGUGAGCGCCCCGAGCGAAGGGAGCGCCUUGCCGCUCAGAAUAACGGAAACACCACGAUAGGACACAACGUCCCACACCGCCCAGCAGCCGGCGGGCAGCACUGCGCCUGUGCGGUAUCCUCUGGCACACGGCACUCUCGCCCCUUCCCUCCGGGCGCCUCCAUCCCGCGGGGGGAGCGGGUUGUCCAGGCCUCUCCACUCCGGGUCCUGCGAACCGCCCUGCCCGGGCUUCCGCCCUCCAGCCCAGGGAAACAACAGCGGGGCUGCCGCCUCCUGCUUGUACAAGGCCGCCGCAGACCCUCCGCACUGCCGUAGAGCCGGCGCACCUCCCUCCCCCCCAUUGCGGGAGCGUUGGUUGGCCCUCCCGGGGCACUCUGGGAACUGGAGGGGCUGCGUUCUCGUUUCCGCUGCGCGUGGGGUGGCGGUGCGUGCUCGCUAAGGAUGCUCCGCGGGGCGGUCGGCGCUUGCCGCUGGGGCCUGAGAACCGGGAGGUGCGGGGGCGAGGCGAGGCGAGGCGAGUGAGGCGGCUGGCCGCUAAGGGGCGGGGCGGGGAGCGGUUGCUGGGAGAUAUGGCGGCGGGCCUGCCUCCCCCCGCAACCGCGUGCUCCCCGCCUUGGCCCAGUGCUGUGCGUGAGGGGAUCGGCCGUGCGCGUUGAUGACCACCCAUAGUCUGUCCAGACCAGAAGAAGAACCUUUUGGAAGAUGUGAAAGAAGUGGAAGUUUGGCAGUGGCCGAAGCAAGCAACAGUGCAACCACGUGACAUCGCAGGAGUACGAGUGUGUUUGUGCAGUAGCCAUGGGUGAUCUUCCUGGCAUCACAGGGAUAGGCAUGUGGUGAAAGCUUCUAAGCAUGUGAAGAGUGUGUACUAGAAGGUGACGAAGUACUGACACCCCAGCUCUCCUGCAGUUUUAUGAGGAAGAAUUGUUAGAACCAGCCUGAAACCAGUGGCAAUGCAAGACUACUCCCUUAGAAACAAAAAGCUGUUAAGGACUUGGGAAUGUUAAGCCUUUAAAUGCUUACACUAACACGAGUUAUUUCUAACUGUAUUAGAACAGUGCUUAUGUAGACAUAAAAAAAAAAAAAAAUAAAGAUUUAUGUUUCUGUUAUUAGAA
Gallus gallus (chicken) is the source of this 2489-nucleotide long non-coding RNA. RefSeq lists it as uncharacterized. The record is from RefSeq and is a predicted model, not a curated record. The transcript is spliced from 5 exons. Lineage: Eukaryota; Metazoa; Chordata; Aves; Galliformes; Phasianidae.